GGAUUAAUACCUUAUAGUAAUACGACUUGGCAUCAAGAUGUAUUUAAAGAUUUAUCGGUGAAGAUGAGCAUGNGUCCCAUUAGCUUGUUGGUAAGGUAACGGCUUACCAAGGCAACGAUCGGGUAGGGGUCCUGAGAGGGAGAUCCCCCACACUGGUACUGAGACACGGACCAGACUCCUACGGGAGGCAGCAGUGAGGAAUAUUGGACAAUGGGCGCAAGCCUGAUCCAGCCAUGCCGCGUGCAGGAUGACGGUCCUAUGGAUUGUAAACUGCUUUUGUACAGGAAGAAACCCUUUCACGUGUGGAAGAUUGACGGUACUGUAAGAAUAAGGAUCGGCUAACUCCGUG
This 349-nucleotide ribosomal RNA is filed under the name uncultured bacterium. RNAcentral describes it as "bacterial SSU rRNA". It matches the Rfam family "Bacterial small subunit ribosomal RNA", at positions 160 to 507 of the family's 1533-position model. The record is from RNAcentral.